GAUGUUUCAGUAUAUUGAAUGUUGCUGUGAGC
Molecule: non-coding RNA, 32 nt
Filed under: Rattus norvegicus (Norway rat)
Lineage: Eukaryota; Metazoa; Chordata; Mammalia; Rodentia; Muridae
Source: RNAcentral